RNAcentral lists this long non-coding RNA (581 nucleotides) under Nicotiana benthamiana. RNAcentral describes it as "long non-coding RNA (NBEN_LNC007820)". The record is from RNAcentral. Lineage: Eukaryota; Viridiplantae; Streptophyta; Magnoliopsida; Solanales; Solanaceae.
GGAUUCGCAACAGCAAUAGAUGCAAAGAGAAUAGCAUAUUUAAUACGGAAGAUAGACAGCAAAGUAGACAAAUUGUAGAAGCUAUAAAGCAAAUACAUAGGGAUGAGGCAGAAAACUACAUUAGAACAUACCAGUUUUAGGGAAACAAGAAAAGAAGAGCAGUAGUCUUGUAAAGCCAAAUUGCAAACAAAUAGUAAGAAGGUCUAACAAGAGAGUGGAGUGUUGAGUUGGGAGUGUGAAGUGUAAGAGUAUUGAAAUUGAAGGUGUUCGGUAAGUAAUGUGUGUGAAAGUGCAUAACUGAAGGUAUGUUGAGAAGGAAAGGGUCGUGCCCUUUUUUUAGUGCAGAAAACGAGCAUAACUAGGUAAGAAAAUAAUUCAAAAAUCAAUUACAGAAAUCCCCCUUUAAUUAAGGGAUUCUUAUUUCAAAUGGGAAAAUAAUUAAAGGAAGAGUUUGAUUAGAAUUUUUUCCCAAAGCAGCAUAAGAAGGGUAAAUACACAGAAACUUAUUUAAGGAAAGAGUCUAGUAGUACACAGUUUGUGCAAAUAAAGAAAGAAAAAUCAAUCAACAGCUAGUAAAUCAC